This is a long non-coding RNA of Dermacentor albipictus, 139 nucleotides long. RefSeq lists it as uncharacterized. NCBI's taxonomy places the organism in Eukaryota, Metazoa, Arthropoda, Arachnida, Ixodida, Ixodidae. The record is from RefSeq and is a predicted model, not a curated record.
AGAGAGUGAAAAUGACAGCUUAAGCGAAUCACAAGCCCCAGGCAGCCAGCAAGCUCAAUGUGCUGUGCAGUCAUUUCAGUCAGCACACCAGCCUAGGGCACCAUUUCUGCAGCCACGUCGUGAAAGCCCAUUACAGUGG